RNAcentral lists this long non-coding RNA (276 nucleotides) under Carica papaya (papaya). RNAcentral's name for it is "long non-coding RNA (CPAP_LNC006587)". The record is from RNAcentral. Lineage: Eukaryota; Viridiplantae; Streptophyta; Magnoliopsida; Brassicales; Caricaceae.
AAACGGGCCGUCCCCAUACCCCGUCCGGUAUGGGCGCCAAAACCAUAAGAUCUCCAUGCCCCGUCCGGCAUGUGAGACCACAAUCCCGGUAGGGUUCCCUACGGACCCGGUCCGUCCACCAUCUCCCAGGAUAUCUAGUCAGGCUGUCCCCAUCAUACAAUUAUCAGUCUAUACAAUGUUUCAUUUCCCUUUUUCCUCAAUAAGCAUCAUCAAUUCACAUUUAAACAAGCAAAUCGUAAUUCAUGCCGAACAGACAACAUACAGUAUCAGUUCUUC